GAUGAACGCUGGCGGCGUGCCUAAUACAUGCAAGUCGAGCGAACAGACGAGGAGCUUGCUCCUCUGACGUUAGCGGCGGACGGGUGAGUAACACGUGGAUAACCUACCUAUAGACUGGGGUAAAUUCGGGGAAACGGAGCUAAAAACGGAUAAAUUAUUGGACCGGCAGGGUCAAUAGUGGAAGGAGGGUUUGGUGGCACUUAUAGGAUGAUCCGGGCCGCAUUAGCUAGUUGGUAAGGUAACGGCUUACCAAGGCAACGAUGCGUAGCCGACCUGAGAGGGUGAUCGGCCACACUGGAACUGAGACACGGUCCAGACUCCUACGGGAGGCAGCAGUAGGGAAUCUUCCGCAAUGGGCGAAAGCCUGACGGAGCAACGCCGCGUGAGUGAUGAAGGUCUUCGGAUCGUAAAACUCUGUUAUUAGGGAAGAACAAAUGUGUAAGUAACUAUGCACGUCUUGACGGUACCUAAUCAGAAAGCCACGGCUAACUACGUG
RNAcentral lists this ribosomal RNA (496 nucleotides) under uncultured bacterium. RNAcentral describes it as "partial 16S ribosomal RNA". It matches the Rfam family "Bacterial small subunit ribosomal RNA", at positions 28 to 507 of the family's 1533-position model. The record is from RNAcentral.